UCACUGCUGAAGAGUCCCACAAUAGAACGAAACGGUCGUCCAGUGC
Molecule: non-coding RNA, 46 nt
Organism: Schistosoma mansoni
Lineage: Eukaryota; Metazoa; Platyhelminthes; Trematoda; Strigeidida; Schistosomatidae
Source: Rfam